RNAcentral lists this ribosomal RNA (500 nucleotides) under uncultured bacterium. Its description in RNAcentral is "bacterial SSU rRNA". It matches the Rfam family "Bacterial small subunit ribosomal RNA", at positions 900 to 1404 of the family's 1533-position model. The record is from RNAcentral.
CUCAAAGGAAUUGACGGGGACCCGCACAAGCGGUGGAUGAUGUGGUUUAAUUCGAUGCAACGCGAAAAACCUUACCCACCUUUGACAUGGCAGGAAGUUUCCAGAGAUGGAUUCGUGCUCGAAAGAGAACCUGCACACAGGUGCUGCAUGGCUGUCGUCAGCUCGUGUCGUGAGAUGUUGGGUUAAGUCCCGCAACGAGCGCAACCCUUGUCAUUAGUUGCUACGAAAGGGCACUCUAAUGAGACUGCCGGUGACAAACCGGAGGAAGGUGGGGAUGACGUCAAGUCCUCAUGGCCCUUAUAGGUGGGGCUACACACGUCAUACAAUGGCCGGUACAAAGGGUCGCAAACCCGCGAGGGGGAGCCAAUCCAUCAAAGCCGGUCGUAGUCCGGAUCGCAGUCUGCAACUCGACUGCGUGAAGUCGGAAUCGCUAGUAAUCGUGGAUCAGCAUGUCACGGUGAAUACGUUCCCGGGUCUUGUACACACCGCCCGUCACACCA